Saccostrea cuccullata (small rock oyster) is the source of this 2098-nucleotide RNA transcript. RefSeq lists it as uncharacterized. The transcript has 3 exons. The record is from RefSeq and is a predicted model, not a curated record. NCBI's taxonomy places the organism in Eukaryota, Metazoa, Mollusca, Bivalvia, Ostreida, Ostreidae.
GUAGCAUGAAGGUAUAAAAACUAUAUAUCAUCUUUUUGGAAAUUUUCUCUACUUUUAAAAAAUCUAAAAAGAUUAUGUCUUGAUUGCCGGUAUUUAAUCGAUUUUACGUUGUAAAGACAAACGUGACUUUUUGAAAAUGGUGUAAUUUUCCAAAGCAAUUGCCGAUUAUCCAGACGAUUGGCAUUUUUUGUCCUGAUUCACUUUAUGAAGAAAGUAUGGUAUAUUCUUAAAGCAUAUUUUCUCUGCUUUUAAAAUAUGUAAAAAUUAUUGUUAUUACUUUAAAGUAUAUUUCUAAAACAAGAAUUUUCUUGCACAUACGUGUUUUUUUUCUCGAUUUUAUUAGUAAUGUUUACACAAGGCUCAGUUUUACGUUUAUUUCUGUGUUGAAAUAGGGAAAACAAAAUAAAGAUGGUAAGAGAAGAGAAAAUUUCCUUUCCAACAAGCCCUUACAGGCCUUCUAACGCUCAGUAUUUUUUUUAAUUACGAUAAUUUGAAUUUGUGAUCUUCGCAUAGUUUUUAUGGAAAAAUCGGUCAAUAUUUACAUGUAACGUCAAGGUCGACAUUGUUGCGUCUUACUCGAAACAACAAAUUCUUUUAUAAGACUUUUUUGACCAUUUAAAUAAAUAUAUAUAUUACUGAGAUCAAUGCAUAAUACAAAAAUUAGAUUUAAAAAAAAAACAGAUUUUAAUAUCGUUGUAUCUUGUUAUGCUGUAAACUUAAUUUGCAAUUUAAUUAUAUCUAUAUUGGCACGAAAUUUAACAAUACAAAAACUCGCAUUUAUAAAUAAAUACGACUCAUCACUGUAUGAGUUGAUACGAAUUGAAAUAACCACGUGUUUCCGCUAUGGUAGCAGUACACAAACAACAUGAUGGUGAUCCAAAAUCUGAACGUCAAUUUUCAUGAUUAUUUCACGACGAAGAUCAUCACAUCAAUGAAUCAAAUAAUACAGACAUGCCUAAUUGGUAUAAGCAGGUGAGAAUACGUGUAUAUUGACUGAAAUAAGUUUAAAACGCAAUUAGUUCACGUUCAAAAGAAAACUAAAUGUACACAUGUACUAGAUCUUCAUAUUUUAGUGUGCGUAUUUCGUAUUGUUCUGCCAAUUUUGUGUUGCUUUUGAACUUUGAUGCUUUUGACAAUCACUCGUAAGUUCAAAGUAAUAUCAAAGUUGUAAUAAUGGAUAGUUGUUUUCAGUAUGUGUGUACCAGUGUGUAUAUGUGCCACAUUCACUUUGAAUUUUUAGGGUGCUGGCACCUUAUGCAAUAAUACUUUCAUCUGUGAAAACCCACUUGCUAAUCCCACCAUGAACUACGAAGGCCAAUUCAUAUGUAAGGACACCAAUGAACAGACACUUUCCAAUUAUCGUACAUCAUAUACAUGGGUUGUCAAAAUCACUGGAUGGUUUAUCAACACUCCCAAGCUCACGAACAGCCUUGCCCCAGGAAUUUUGCCCUGAAGUAACAUUGCAGUCUAUUGUCUCCUUUCUUUUUACAACCCUGGCAGCCAUGCAGGAUAGAAGCUGAUCCUUUGUACUUGACAGCAAAUAAUAAUGUCUUGGACAAGUUAAAGAAUUUCCUCCAGUCUUACAGAAAAAUGACAGUCGAUAAAAGAAUGGUGGACACAAAGUAAAAGUGCCCUUCAACAUUUUGUUGAAGAUUCCAGUCUGAUUUGGAAUUCAUCUUACAAUAUUUCUGGAUUUGUAUAUUUGGACAUAAACGUCACAUUUUCAACUUAAUGACUAAAUAGUUUUGCGUUAAAUAUUGCCAAUGCUAUCUUUUAUUAUUAUCUCCCUUUAAGAUAACAUGUCAAGUCUUUAUUGUAAACCUUAAGCUCUGUUAUACCAGAAAAAUCUUGUAAUGAAAUCAUUUAGUUUAUUUUUUCUUGUAAGAUUUAAUCCAUGGAAAUAAAAGUUAUUUUUAAUGGCAUCAAGAGAAUGGAAUUUUUUGUUUAACAAAAAGAUUGUAUACAUGUUUUGCAAGGGGUUUGUAAGAAGUAGACCAGAAUUCUUUGCUUGCAAAUUUUGUCGUUCGCCAUUUUUUCACGUCAACUAUUAGAUGAUUUAUCCAUGAUUGAAGCAUUUCAAAAUUGAUAUUCAAUUAGA